GAUCGACAAGCUCGUCAGCUCUCAGAGGAGGUUCACCCCUACAUGCUUACAGAAAAAUAAAGAGGCCCACAAGGAAUGAACCAAACUGAUCUGUUGAUAAUUUAGGAUCUGUUGAUAAUUUAGGAAAACCUAAGUGAAUGCACUCUGUAGCUCCCAGGUGACAUUUAAAAAUCCCUCUGACUAAUGCGUAGGACAUUUAUAUCCUUCUCACGAAGGAUGUGUCAACACAGCUUGCCAACCCAGAGGUGGCAGGUCAUUUAUUUGGCAAGGGCCACCUAGCUUAGGCAUCCAUCCAAUGUGGGGCCAGGGGGUGGGGGGCACCCCUGAUAACUGCCAUGCCUGUGUCAAUUGCCUUCUUCCUCACACUCAGCCCCUGCAUGAUAUUCUCACCACCUCUUCCAAGGCCCCCAGGUUCCACAGAGGGAGGUUUUGGGGAUCUGUGUCCAUCUCUGACCAGCAUCUCAAUAUCAACCCCAUCUCAGGUCAGGUAGAAAUGGAGUCGUCCCAGGACCACAUCUGUCUCCUGCAGCCAACUCUCCUGGCUCAGUGAUUCAGGGCUCCUCAUUUGUGAUUAACAGGUGCCUCCUGUCUGGUGGAGACUCUUUCUCAACACCAUGUCCCCUCAAAGCAGGGGCAAAAGGAAAACAGCAUCUUGCACAGGGAGGUUUUGCAUGCUUAGAGCAACAAGCAACAGAGAAAACACACUCACAUUCUCCCUUCCUCAAAUAAACCGACUUCUCCACUCGUCCCUUCCCUUGAAAACAGAAGCACUAUUCAAAAGGAAAAAGAAGAAAGGAAUUAAAAAAAAGAACUGAAUAGGAGAAGAAGAAGAAAAGGGAGGAAAAAAGAGAGCGAGAAGAGAGCGAUCCCCGAGGGAGGUGGCAAGAGCUCAGAAUGAAGGAAAGGAGAGCAGAGACACAAAGGGUGGGGAGAGAAAGACAGAAGCUUUGAAAGAAAGAAUGUUCCGGCGUGAAUGCAGCGUGCAGGGGAGAGAAGCGCGCUUGAAAAGGAGCAGCCCGAUGCGGUGACCCCUCAUUCACACAAGGUGCCAAUCAUGGUGACAAUGCAAAGCCUUUCUUCUUUUCUACUUCUCUCCUUUCUGGGGAGGGAAAGGCUGAGAACUGCAAGUUAAUUUCUAAAAGUACCCCCAAAAAUAAAUAAAUAAAUUCGAUUCCACUGGCGAAACAUCAAAGAGCUGCUGUAAAGGCUUCCCUGAAACUCAUGACACCCCCCAAGAGAAGAGCUCCCUCCCCAGGGGCAGCUCAGGCCAGGCGGCCAUCAGCUUUAUUUCAGGGUCAGCAGCCACUGCCCUAGGCCCGGCCACCUGGCUGUGGUCACCUCACAUAAGGUCCCUGGUGAGUGAGGUUGAGAGAGC
Molecule: long non-coding RNA, 1375 nt
Filed under: Marmota monax (woodchuck)
Lineage: Eukaryota; Metazoa; Chordata; Mammalia; Rodentia; Sciuridae
Source: RNAcentral